AUUUAUCAUACUAAGGGUCUGUUUCACAAUGUAUGGAUAAAGUACCAAAUAGCUAUGCAACACAUAAAUUAUUUGGAAGAUAAAAGUUCCGAAUAAGAAACUUUGCGUUUCACAAUCAUAUUUUAUCCGGCACAUAACUAUCCGACACAUAAAGAAGAUUGUGGUAGCAACACCAAAUUCGUAUGUUCCGUUUUUUUGUUACGAACAAAUAAAGUUACAAAAUUCUAUAGAAAAACAUAGAACCUUAACCUUUUUGUUGGUCAUUUAAUAUUACUUGUAAUGAAACGGGCUGUCAUUUUCACAUGGUAUUUUUGUUUGUUAGGUUAUUGAGUAUUUUAGUACAUAUUUUAGUUCGGUGCCUUCGGCUUGACCUUUCCGUUGUUUUUGUGAUUCGAGGUGGAUUCUUUAACUUAAAAAAAUGUCUACGCAAAAACGUGAAAGAAGCGUCAAUUUCAGCCAGGAAGAAGUUGAGCUUCUAACUUCGCUUGUUGCUGAUCAUAAAAAUAUAUUAGAAAAUAAAAAAAGUGACUCAGUCACCUGGCAGGAGAAAGAGCAGUGCUGGAAGACGUUAGAGGCGCUGUUUAAUAGCACAAGUGUGGAAAACUUUCGCAGCGCUAAAACUUUAAAAGCUAAAUACGAAGGCUUAAAGAGGGCUACAAGAAAAAAGUCUGCCUUGAUACAUGCUGAAACGUAACGUAAAGGAGGUGGCCCUAGUGCUGCUACUCCUCUUACCCCUAUCGAGGAAAAAGUCAAAGACAUGAUAUUGUUGUCUGUCGAAGGAAUUGAAAGUCAAUUUGACUCCGAUCGCAUUGAAAGAGAAUCUAUCCAUUCAGUUGAGGCAGACGUUUGUACACAGAAGGAAGAUUCUAAUUGAGUUGUUGGUAAGUUAGUCGGACUUUACCUUUUAUGUUUCACUUCAGGUGAAUGUGGUAGUGCUACCCCAAAAAAAUUGGCAAUUGAAAAGUGGACCAACUGGAAGCCAAAUUCUCUACGUUCCAAAAAACAUCCCGCUUUAUCUACUCCGAAGAUGAAAAGGCCAUUCGAAAAAGUUGCUGAUUCAAAAUUAGAGAUUGCGGAUCUGCAAAAGAAGAUUCUGGAGGUAGAGCUUCUAAAUAAGAGAAAGCAAUGGGCAUUUGAAGAGGAAGAAAGAGAGCAGA
Long non-coding RNA from Pieris napi, 1157 nucleotides. RefSeq lists it as uncharacterized. The record is from RefSeq and is a predicted model, not a curated record. The transcript is spliced from 3 exons. Lineage: Eukaryota; Metazoa; Arthropoda; Insecta; Lepidoptera; Pieridae.